Molecule: ribosomal RNA, 914 nt
Filed under: uncultured marine archaeon
Lineage: Archaea
Description: bacterial SSU rRNA
Rfam family: Archaeal small subunit ribosomal RNA
Source: RNAcentral
UUCCGGUUGAUCCUGCCGGAGGCUACCGCUAUUGGAGUUCGAUUAAGCCAUGCGAGUCGAGAGUCUUAGGGACUCGGCGCACCGCUCAGUAACACGUGGGUAACCUGCCCUAUGCUGGGGGAUAACCUCGGGAAACUGAGAAUAAUACCCCAUAGUUCACCACGCCUGGAACGGUGGGUGGAUCAAAGCUCCGGCGGCAUAGGAUGGGCUGCGACGUAUCAGGUUGUAGGGGGUGUAACGUACCCUCUAGCCAUCAACGCGUACGGGUGUUGGGAGACAUAGCCCGGAGAUGGAUUCUGAGACACGAAUCCAGACCCUACGGGGUGCAGCAGGCGCGAAAACUUGGCAAUGCGAGCAAUCGUGACCAGGGAACUCCAAGUGGCUGGGGUAAUACCCAGUUUUUUCUUGACUCUUCAAAGGUCUUGGAAUAAGGGGUGGGUAAGGACGGUGCCAGCCGCCGCGGUAAUACCGGCGCCUCAAGUGGUAGUCGCUUUUAUUGGGCCUAAAACGUCCGUAGCCGGUCUGGUACAUUCGUGGGUAAAUCAACCCGCUCAACGGGUUGAAUUCUGCGAGCACGGCCAGACUUGGGACCGGGAGAGGUGUGGGGUACUCUCAGGGUAGGGGUAAAAUCCUGUCAUCCUGAGAGGACCACCUGUUGCGAAGGCGCCACACUAGAACGGAUCCGACGGUCAGGGACGAAGCCUAGGGGCACGAACCGGAUUAGAUACCCGGGUAGUCCUAGGUGUAAACGCUGUGGACUUGAUGUUGGGAGUGCUCCGAGCACCCUCAGUGUCGAAGCGAAGGUGAUAAGUCCACUGCCUGGGGAGUACGGUCGCAAGGCUGAAACUUAAAGGAAUUGGCGGGGGAGCACUGCAACCUGAGGAUUGUGCGGUUUAAUUGGAGUCAACGCCGGA